GUAAUGGCGAACGAACAGGGAUCAGCUUGGGUUGGAAACCGGGGCUUCUGCCUUGGAUUGUGGCCUUUAGACAUACUACCAACGGCGGCGCGAGCGUAAGCCUCUUGGAACAGAGCGUCUACGUGGGUGAGAAUCCUGUAUUUCGCUUGAUGCCCGCCGUGCACGGUACUUGCUCUCAGAGUCACGCUCCUCGGAAUUGGAGCGUAAAUUGGGUGGUAAAUUUCAUCUAAAGCUAAAUACAGGCUCGAGACCGAUAGCAAACAAGUACCAUGAGGGAAAGAUGAAAAGGACUUUGAAAAGAGAGUUAAAAGUGCUUGAAAUCGCUGAACUGGAAGCGAAUGGAACUAGUGCUCUGGUUGAGAUUGCUGCAAGUGGCUGCGACAUCUGGGCUCUGGAACGCAAGUCCUUUGUCUGGUUUGAAGUAGUUGCUUGUAAUGUGUCUCAGCUUGAACAUCAGCGUCUAUGCAUACGUGAGGAUGGCCCUUAGCUCAUGCUGUGUUGCUGGGGCGAUACUCUUGUGCUUUUGGGGAUUCAGGUGUGUGUGGAUUGUUGAUCAAUUAGUUCCAUUCGACCCGUCUUGAAACACGGACCAAGGAGUCUAGCACUUGUGCAAGUUCUCAGGUGUCAAACCUCUGUGCGCAAUGAAGGUGACUGCUGGGAUUUUUUGCACCAGCAACCGACCAAUCAAUUGGGAGAAGUUUGAGUAAGAGCAUGUGUGUUAGGACCCGAAA
RNAcentral lists this ribosomal RNA (731 nucleotides) under Symbiodinium sp. RNAcentral describes it as "LSU rRNA". It matches the Rfam family "Eukaryotic large subunit ribosomal RNA", at positions 83 to 821 of the family's 3401-position model. Lineage: Eukaryota; Dinophyceae; Suessiales; Symbiodiniaceae. The record is from RNAcentral.